Molecule: ribosomal RNA, 822 nt
Filed under: uncultured bacterium
Lineage: Bacteria
Description: bacterial SSU rRNA
Rfam family: Bacterial small subunit ribosomal RNA
Source: RNAcentral
CAUGCAAGUCGAACGAGAGAUGAGGAGCUUGCUCUUCAAAUCGAGUGGCGAACGGGUGAGUAACGCGUGAGGAACCUGCCUCAAAGAGGGGGACAACAGUUGGAAACGACUGCUAAUACCGCAUAAGCCCACGGCUCGGCAUCGAGCAGGGGGAAAAGGAGCAAUCCGCUUUGAGAUGGCCUCGCGUCCGAUUAGCUAGUUGGUGAGGUAAUGGCCCACCAAGGCGACGAUCGGUAGCCGGACUGAGAGGUUGAACGGCCACAUUGGGACUGAGACACGGCCCAGACUCCUACGGGAGGCAGCAGUGGGGAAUAUUGCACAAUGGGGGAAACCCUGAUGCAGCGACGCCGCGUGGAGGAAGAAGGUCUUCGGAUUGUAAACUCCUGUUGUUGAGGAAGAUAAUGACGGUACUCAACAAGGAAGUGACGGCUAACUACGUGCCAGCAGCCGCGGUAAAACGUAGGUCACAAGCGUUGUCCGGAAUUACUGGGUGUAAAGGGAGCGCAGGCGGGAGAACAAGUUGGAAGUGAAAUCCAUGGGCUCAACCCAUGAACUGCUUUCAAAACUGUUUUUCUUGAGUAGUGCAGAGGUAGGCGGAAUUCCCGGUGUAGCGGUGGAAUGCGUAGAUAUCGGGAGGAACACCAGUGGCGAAGGCGGCCUACUGGGCACCAACUGACGCUGAGGCUCGAAAGUGUGGGUAGCAAACAGGAUUAGAUACCCUGGUAGUCCACACCGUAAACGAUGAUUACUAGGUGUUGGAGGAUUGACCCCUUCAGUGCCGCAGUUAACACAAUAAGUAAUCCACCUGGGGAGUACGACCGC